CGGUUUUUGUGGAGCGAUGGGUAACGAUGCAUCGAGGGUGGAUGUUAUCUUUGUGUGCAGAGGGUCCCUGGUUCGAGCCCAGGUAGGGGCGAGGAGAGGGACGAUAGCAAAACUGUUACAUGGGCAUCAUUUUAAUCAGGAGAAUUUCCUCUUUGUAAUUAUAGAGCGAGCUGACCAAGGGGUCAAAAAUGUAGAUAUUGCCAGAUAUUCACUGUCCGAGGAACAGGCCGUGGUAGCUUUAUUGCUUGUAAAAGUAUCCAUAACCAGAGGUUAUAUCAGCUGUUUUGGUGAACCCCUUCCGCAUCUGAACUGGCUGACACAGAGGGCACAGCAUGAUCAUAGGUAUAUUUUGAUGUGAGAGAGGAAGCCAGUCCCGUCAUCGCCACCUCACUCGCUCUUAAGAUAACCUUUGGGCCAACUGGGAGCCCAAGGCUCGUUAGGAGACACCGCAAUUGUGAUGAACUGAGAGAAUAUUAGGGUAGCACUGUAAUUCAUGAAUCAUAUGCUGUCUAUGUAUUUAUAACACCAGGAUAAUGAACGUCUUUCAAUAAAGUGUUUCACA
Molecule: long non-coding RNA, 562 nt
Organism: Oncorhynchus masou masou (cherry salmon)
Lineage: Eukaryota; Metazoa; Chordata; Actinopteri; Salmoniformes; Salmonidae
Exons: 4
Source: RefSeq, a predicted model, not a curated record